RNAcentral lists this long non-coding RNA (331 nucleotides) under Homo sapiens (human). Its description in RNAcentral is "HSALNT0147617". Lineage: Eukaryota; Metazoa; Chordata; Mammalia; Primates; Hominidae. The record is from RNAcentral.
GGUAUCCUGACAGGUGUGAAGUGAUACCUCAUUUAGAUUUUGACUUGCAUUUCCCUGAUGAUUACUGUUAAGCAGUUUUUCACAUACAGGUACGCAGAGGCUAUUUCUCCCUGAUGACCUGACACAGACCCAGCCAACACCAUCUAUAAUGAAAAUCAAUGGCACCAAGUCACUAAACAAUUAUUCCGUCUUCUUUAAAAAUGCACAAGUCUUCAAAAAACAAGGAUUCAGAGACUGAUUAAUUUGCCAUUUGUCUAGAAGAUUGCACUAGCUGCAUUAUUUAAGAAGUGCCUUGUCUCUGUGCCCUCAAAAGCUGAACCAAGAUCAAAGA